RNAcentral lists this transfer RNA (77 nucleotides) under Rhodospirillaceae bacterium. RNAcentral's name for it is "tRNA-His". It matches the Rfam family "tRNA". Rfam says of the family: Transfer RNA (tRNA) molecules are approximately 80 nucleotides in length. Their secondary structure includes four short double-helical elements and three loops (D, anti-codon, and T loops). The record is from RNAcentral. RNAcentral also lists the same sequence under 1 other name. Lineage: Bacteria; Pseudomonadati; Pseudomonadota; Alphaproteobacteria; Rhodospirillales; Rhodospirillaceae.
GUGGCUGUAGCUCAGUCGGUUAGAGCAUCGGCUUGUGGUGCCGAGGGUCGUGGGUUCGAAUCCCAUCAGCCACCCCA